GAAGUACUCCCUCCGUCCCAAAAUUCUUGUCUUAGAUUUGUCUAGAUACGGAUGUAUCAAGUCACAUUUUAGUAUUAGAUACAUCCGUAUCUAGACAAAUCUAAGACAAGAAAUUUGGGACAGAGGGAGCAGUUA
Molecule: non-coding RNA, 135 nt
Organism: Triticum aestivum (bread wheat)
Lineage: Eukaryota; Viridiplantae; Streptophyta; Magnoliopsida; Poales; Poaceae
Source: Rfam